UCCGGAGGAUGCAAUCGUUAUCCGGAAUGAUUGGGCGUAAAGGGUCCGCAGGUGGCCCUGUAAGUCUGCUGUUAAAGAGUGAGGCUUAACCUCAUAAAAGCAGUGGAAACUACAGAGCUAGAGUGCGUUCGGGGUAGCAGGAAUUCCUGGUGUAGCGGUGAAAUGCGUAGAGAUCAGGAAGAACACCGGUGGCGAAAGCGUGCUACUAGGCCGUAACUGACACUGAGGGACGAAAGCUAGGGGAGAGAAUGGG
RNAcentral lists this ribosomal RNA (253 nucleotides) under uncultured bacterium. RNAcentral describes it as "partial 16S ribosomal RNA". It matches the Rfam family "Bacterial small subunit ribosomal RNA", at positions 524 to 776 of the family's 1533-position model. The record is from RNAcentral.